This is a long non-coding RNA of Cyprinus carpio (common carp), 842 nucleotides long. RefSeq lists it as uncharacterized. NCBI's taxonomy places the organism in Eukaryota, Metazoa, Chordata, Actinopteri, Cypriniformes, Cyprinidae. The record is from RefSeq and is a predicted model, not a curated record. The transcript is spliced from 3 exons.
CGCAAUUUGCAGCAAUGUCUGGUUUCCCAAAUGUAAUCGGCGCAAUUGACUGCACUCAUGUUGCUAUAAGGGCACCAUCUGAAAAUGAAUUUGCUUAUGUUAAUAGAAAGCAUGUGCAUUCUAUUAAUGUGCAAAUCAUAUGUGACUCCAACAUGACCCUCACAAACAUUGUGGCACGCUGGCCUGGUUCAACACAUGAUUCCUUUAUCUUGACACAUAGCAGUGUAGGGAACAGACUAAAUGCAGGCGCAGUACGUGAUGGCUGGCUUCUUGAGCGCAGAGGAAACUCAUUAUAACGAGGUCCACUCUCGUGCCCGCGCAGUUGUGGAGCGUGCCAUCGGCAUCCUGAAAUGCAGAUGGCGUGCUCUGGAUGCCUCGGGUGGCAGACUUUUAUACCAUCCAGCAAAAGUGUGCAAGAUUGUCAGGGCGUGUGGUGUUUUGCACAAUAUAGCACUGAGAAACGGUAUUCCUCUCCCUCCUGAUCUCCCUCUACCCCAGCAUUACGACCCCGAGCCACAGCCCCCUGGCCGACAAGAGGGAUAUCAACGAGGUGCAAGAAUCCGUGAGGAUGUCAUGCGGCGUUUGUAAAGAAAGACAAAACUCAAGGACUGCGUCAGUGAGUACCCGACCACUUUUGGACGUGCCAGACGCAGAAGGGGCACUGCUUUGAGCCGGACGCUGUGCAUCUGCAUCUGAGAACCCCUCACCCUGAACCUCCUGUUCAUUUACAGCUUCAGACUCCGGAAGGACUGGAGGACAAAACAAUUGGCAACAUUUAUCCAUUUAUCACCCCCACACACUCAAAUGUACAGCGUUAAUGAUUAAAAAUCGGUUUAACCUUG